GACGAACGCUGGCGGCGUGCUUUACACAUGCAAGUCGAACGGUGAAGGUGGAGCUUGCUCCGCCGGAUCAGUGGCGAACGGGUGAGUAACACGAGGGCAACAUCCCCCUAACUUUGGGAUAACUACUCGAAAGAGUAGCUAAUACCGGAUACGAAGUCUGUAUGCAUCUACGGAUUUGGAAAGCUCUUCGGUUAAGGAUGUGCCCGCGGCCUAUCAGCUUGGUUGUGAGGUAGUGGCACACCAAGGCGACGUAGGGUAGCCGGCCUGAGCGGGGUUCCGGGCACGCUUGGACUGAAAUACGGCCCCGACUCCUACCGGAUGCAGCUGUGGGGAAUAUUGCGCAAUAGUCGAAGGCCCGACGCAGCAGCGCGGCGUGCGGGAUUUAGUCAUUCGGGUUGUGCACCGUUAUCAGCAGGGAAGAUGCGAAAGUGACGGUACCUGCAGAAGAAGCACCGGCUAACUACGUGCCAGCCGCCGCCGUAA
RNAcentral lists this ribosomal RNA (483 nucleotides) under uncultured bacterium. RNAcentral's name for it is "partial 16S ribosomal RNA". It matches the Rfam family "Bacterial small subunit ribosomal RNA", at positions 28 to 523 of the family's 1533-position model. The record is from RNAcentral.